This 229-nucleotide ribosomal RNA is filed under the name uncultured bacterium. RNAcentral's name for it is "partial 16S ribosomal RNA". It matches the Rfam family "Bacterial small subunit ribosomal RNA", at positions 568 to 796 of the family's 1533-position model. The record is from RNAcentral.
CACGCAGGCGGUUUGUUAAGUCAGAUGUGAAAGCCCCGGGCUCAACCUGGGAACUGCAUUUGAUACUGGCAAACUAGAGUAUGAGAGAGAGAAGUGGAAUUCCACAUGUAGCGGUGAAAUGCGUAGAGAUGUGGAGGAACAUCAGUGGCGAAGGCGACUUCUUGGCUCAAUACUGACGCUCAGGUGCGAAAGCGUGGGGAGCAAACAGGAUUAGAUACCCUGGUAGUCC